RNAcentral lists this unclassified non-coding RNA (237 nucleotides) under plant metagenome. RNAcentral's name for it is "partial contains small subunit ribosomal RNA, internal transcribed spacer 1, and 5.8S ribosomal RNA". The record is from RNAcentral.
UCUCCGUUGGUGAACCAGCGGGGGGAUCAUUACCGAGUUUACAACUCCCAAACCCCAUGUGAACCUUACCAAACGUUGCUUCGGCGGGAUGCCCCGGGCGCGGGCCGCAAGGCCCCAGCCCCGGAACCAGGCGCCCGCCGGAGGCCCAAACCAAACUCUUGUUUUUGUAGAAUCUUCUGAGUGGCCUUUUAGGCAAAAAAUGAAUCAAAACUUUCAACAACGGAUCUCUUGGUUCUG